RNAcentral lists this long non-coding RNA (415 nucleotides) under Sinocyclocheilus anshuiensis. RNAcentral's name for it is "lncRNA (ENSSANG00000044479.1)". Lineage: Eukaryota; Metazoa; Chordata; Actinopteri; Cypriniformes; Cyprinidae. The record is from RNAcentral.
CUGGAAAUGACAUAACUGAUAAAGGUGUUCUGAGACUGCACCAAGCCUUAGAUGAAAACAGUUUCACAAAGACCAUAUGCAUUUGUGACAACCAAGUAACAGAGAUGGGCCUCCUGGUGGAAGAAGCACGCUUUGAAACCCAACAUGCUGAUACAAGAAGAUGCAUCCACACACAGAAUUACAUUACAAAAGAUUUGAGAUCAAAAAGUGAGAUGGAAAAAUCAAUCAGUUCUUUUGUUAAGGUUUCAGUGGAAAACAGAAGGCCUUUUCAUGUGCAGCGCAACAGGGCUAGUGUUCGGAUUGAAAGGAAGUGGAUGUGUAGAGUACAGUGUGGCUCACUGGGAUGUGCGUCUCCUCAUCAACACUCACUAUGAGCCUGCUGGACCUCUGUUCGAUAUCAAAACCCCUACAGGAG